ACUCCUACGGGAGGCAGCAGUGGGGAAUAUUGGACAAUGGGCGCAAGCCUGAUCCAGCCAUGCCGCGUGAGUGAUGAAGGCCCUAGGGUUGUAAAGCUCUUUCGCACGCGACGAUAAUGACGGUAGCGUGACAAGAAGCCCCGGCUAACUUCGUGCCAGCAGCCGCGGUAAUACGAAGGGGCAAGCGUUGUUCGGAAUCACUGGGCGUAAAGCGCACGUAGGCGGAUCGUUAAGUCAGGGGUGAAAUCCCGAGGCUCAACCUCGGAACUGCCUUUGAUACUGGCGAUCUUUGAGUCCGGGAGAGGUGAGUGGAAUUCCGAGUGUAGAGGUGAAAUUCGUAGAUAUUCGGAAGAACACCAGUGGCGAAGGCGGCUCACUGGCCCGGUACUGACGCUGAGGUGCGAAAGCGUGGGGAGCAACAGGAUUAGAUACCCUGGUAGGCUCUGC
Molecule: ribosomal RNA, 447 nt
Filed under: uncultured bacterium
Lineage: Bacteria
Description: bacterial SSU rRNA
Rfam family: Bacterial small subunit ribosomal RNA
Source: RNAcentral